UGUAGUUCUAUACGAAGACAAGUGAGAGGCGCUGUAGGGCUCUGUAGAAAGCCAAAGCAAAAGGGGAGGAGCGGUAUCGGGGAGUAAAGUAGCCACACGGUGUGUCUGUCCCACCAGGCAUUCGCUCGAAUCUAACCAACCGACGCUGAGCAGGGAUCGGAUAAAGACGCGUUCUGUGGCAUCUGCCAAAACUCCCGACCACUCCGCUCACAAUUGUCAACGGAGAGACAGUAGCCCGCAAACAGCGGACACCUGACAGGCAACAGAAGGGAUAAAGCAAGAGGCAACAUAAUACAUUUAGCCGUAAAAUGCAACAGUCUUUGUUGGAUUAAAACAUCAUUCAAAGAUAAGCGUCGUAUAGGCAGUGAAACAAGGACGAACGCCGGUGCUGAAGCUGAACUGCGACUAGGGAGGUGUAGACGGGAAUACUCAAAAGAUCGAAUUUGUCUGAUGAGAAUCGCCAUCCACCAGAGACCUAAGGGCCUGCUCCACUCCUUCUCCGACAGCUGAAAGUGUUCAUUUGUCCACCGAAUCCAAGCAGUCUUAUCAGUCUACGCUGACCUACUUGGAGCAGGCUAAACAGUGAGAUCGUGCGUAAUUGUACAUGCUGAAAGGUUUUCCAUAUCUGGGAAAAGAUCCACAUCAGGCAGCAGG
Molecule: long non-coding RNA, 654 nt
Filed under: Salmo salar (Atlantic salmon)
Lineage: Eukaryota; Metazoa; Chordata; Actinopteri; Salmoniformes; Salmonidae
Description: lncRNA (ENSSSAG00000084442.1)
Source: RNAcentral